This 471-nucleotide ribosomal RNA is filed under the name uncultured organism. RNAcentral describes it as "partial 16S ribosomal RNA". It matches the Rfam family "Bacterial small subunit ribosomal RNA", at positions 335 to 797 of the family's 1533-position model. The record is from RNAcentral.
ACUCCUACGGGAGGCAGCAGUGGGGAAUUUUGGACAAUGGGCGAAAGCCUGAUCCAGCAAUGCCGCGUGAGUGAAGAAGGCCUUCGGGUUGUAAAGCUCUUUUGUCAGGGAAGAAUCGGUGAAAGCUAAUAUCUUUUGCUAAUGACGGUACCUGAAGAAUAAGCACCGGCUAACUACGUGCCAGCAGCCGCGGUAAUACGUAGGGUGCAAGCGUUAAUCGGAAUUACUGGGCGUAAAGCGUGCGCAGGCGGUUUUGUAAGUCUGAUGUGAAAUCCCCGGGCUCAACCUGGGAAUUGCAUUGGAGACUGCAAUGCUAGAAUCUGGCAGAGGGGGGUAGAAUUCCACGUGUAGCAGUGAAAUGCGUAGAUAUGUGGAGGAACACCGAUGGCGAAGGCAGCCCCCUGGGUCAAGAUUGACGCUCAUGCACGAAAGCGUGGGGAGCAAACAGGAUUAGAAACCCGAGUAGUCCCA